AACCGAGAACUCCUACGGGAGGCAGCAGUGGGGAAUUUUGGACAAUGGGCGCAAGCCUGAUCCAGCAAUGCCGCGUGCAGGAUGAAGGCCUUCGGGUUGUAAACUGCUUUUGUACGGAACGAAAAGGCUCUGGUUAAUACCUGGGGCACAUGACGGUACCGUAAGAAUAAGCACCGGCUAACUACGUGCCAGCAGCCGCGGUAAUACGUAGGGUGCGAGCGUUAAUCGGAAUUACUGGGCGUAAAGCGUGCGCAGGCGGUGAUGCAAGACAGAUGUGAAAUCCCCGGGCUUAACCUGGGAACUGCAUUUGUGACUGCAUCGCUGGAGUGCGGCAGAGGGGGAUGGAAUUCCGCGUGUAGCAGUGAAAUGCGUAGAUAUGCGGAGGAACACCGAUGGCGAAGGCAAUCCCCUGGGCCUGCACUGACGCUCAUGCACGAAAGCGUGGGGAGCAAACAGGAUUAGAAACCCUUGUAGUCCGACUGAGA
Molecule: ribosomal RNA, 485 nt
Filed under: uncultured bacterium
Lineage: Bacteria
Description: bacterial SSU rRNA
Rfam family: Bacterial small subunit ribosomal RNA
Source: RNAcentral